GGGGAUUGCCUCAGUAACGGCGAGUGAAGCGGCAACAGCUCAAAUUUGAAAGCCCGCGGGCGUUGUAAUUUGCAGGCGGAUGUUUUGGGGCGGGCGCUGUCUACGUUCCUUGGAACAGGACGCCGCAGAGGGUGAGAGCCCCGUGCGAUGGCGCCUCCAACCGCGUAAAACUCCGCCGACGAGUCGAGUUGUUUGGGAAUGCAGCUCCAAGUGGGUGGUAAAUUCCAUCUAAAGCUAAAUACUGGCGAGAGACCGAUAGCGAACAAGUACAGUGAUGGAAAGAUGAAAAGCACUUUGAAAAGAGAGUGAAACAGCACGUGAAAUUGUUGAAAGGGAAGGGUAUGCGAUUAGCGGCCAGCAGGAGGUGCCUUCUCGUGAAAAGGCCGUGCACCGUCUUCGGACACCGUGCGCGGAGAUGGCGAGGGGGCGCCUGAGGUCUGCGACUCGAGGUUGCUGGCGUAAUGAUUGCAUACCACCCGUCUUGAAACACGGACC
RNAcentral lists this ribosomal RNA (495 nucleotides) under Diutina rugosa. RNAcentral describes it as "partial large subunit ribosomal RNA". It matches the Rfam family "Eukaryotic large subunit ribosomal RNA", at positions 70 to 667 of the family's 3401-position model. The record is from RNAcentral. Lineage: Eukaryota; Fungi; Ascomycota; Pichiomycetes; Serinales; Debaryomycetaceae.